RNAcentral lists this unclassified non-coding RNA (275 nucleotides) under uncultured fungus. RNAcentral's name for it is "partial contains small subunit ribosomal RNA, internal transcribed spacer 1, and 5.8S ribosomal RNA". The stretch from base 1 to 73 matches the Rfam family "Eukaryotic small subunit ribosomal RNA", at positions 1759 to 1831 of the family's 1831-position model. The record is from RNAcentral. Lineage: Eukaryota; Fungi.
GCAAACUUGGUCAUUUAGAGGAAGUAAAAGUCGUAACAAGGUUUCCGUAGGUGAACCUGCGGAAGGAUCAUUAAAGAUUCGAGCUUCGGCUCUAACCUUUCAGCUGUGCGCUUCGGCUGCACGCUGUAAACUCUCACACCUGUGCACCUUUUCGGUUGCGGCGCUCGCGUCGCUUCCGCUUCACAUCUUACAACAAGUCUAGAAUGUACAAACCAUAUUAAAAUACAACUUUCAACAACGGAUCUCUUGGCUCUCGCAUCGAUGAAGAACGCAGC